GACGAACGCUGGCGGCGUGCCUAAUACAUGCAAGUCGAACGCAGUGGGGACGGGUGAGUAACACGUGGGUAACCUCCCAUCAGAGGGGAUAACACUUGGAAACAGGUGCUAAACCUAUACUGAUGGAUGAACCCGCGGUGCAUUAGCUAGUUGGUGAGGUAACGGCUCACCAAGUCCACGAUGCAUAGCCGAUCUGGAAGGGUGAUCGGCCCCACCGGAACUGAGACACGGCCCAGACGCCUACGGGAGGCAGCAGUGGGGAAUCUUCGGCAAUGGACGAAAGUCUGACCGAGCAAUGCCGCGUGAGUGAAGAAGGUUUUCGGAUCGUAAAGCACUGUUGUUAGAGAAGCGGUAGCUACCCAGAAAGCCCCGGCUAACUACGUGCCAGCAGCCGCGGUAAUUC
RNAcentral lists this ribosomal RNA (403 nucleotides) under uncultured bacterium. Its description in RNAcentral is "partial 16S ribosomal RNA". It matches the Rfam family "Bacterial small subunit ribosomal RNA", at positions 28 to 526 of the family's 1533-position model. The record is from RNAcentral.